CAUGGGGGGGCCUAAUACAUGCAAGUCGAACGCACUCUCGUUUAGAUUGAAGGAGCUUGCUCCUGAUUGAUAAACAUUUGAGUGAGUGGCGGACGGGUGAGUAACACGUGGGUAACCUGCCCUAAAGUGGGGGAUAACAUUUGGAAACAGAUGCUAAUACCGCAUAAAACCUAACACCGCAUGGUGUAGGGUUGAAAGAUGGUUUCGGCUAUCACUUUAGGAUGGACCCGCGGUGCAUUAGUUAGUUGGUGAGGUAAAGGCUCACCAAGACCGUGAUGCAUAGCCGACCUGAGAGGGUAAUCGGCCACACUGGGACUGAGACACGGCCCAGACUCCUACGGGAGGCAGCAGUAGGGAAUCUUCCACAAUGGACGAAAGUCUGAUGGAGCAACGCCGCGUGAGUGAAGAAGGUUUUCGGAUCGUAAAACUCUGUUGUUGGAGAAGAAUGUAUCUGAUAGUAACUGAUCAGGUAGUGACGGUAUCCAACCAGAAAGCCACGGCUAACUACGUGCCAGCAGCCGCGGUAAUACGUAGGUGGCAAGCGUUGUCCGGAUUUAUUGGGCGUAAAGCGAGCGCAGGCGGUUUCUUAAGUCUGAUGUGAAAGCCUUCGGCUCAACCGAAGAAGUGCAUCGGAAACUGGGAAACUUGAGUGCAGAAGAGGACAGUGGAACUCCAUGUGUAGCGGUGAAAUGCGUAGAUAUAUGGAAGAACACCAGUGGCGAAGGCGGCUGUCUGGUCUGUAACUGACGCUGAGGCUCGAAAGCAUGGGUAGCAAACAGGAUUAGAUACCCUGGUAGUCCAUGCCGUAAACGAUGAGUGCUAGGUGUUGGAGGGUUUCCGCCCUUCAGUGCCGCAGCUAACGCAUUAAGCACUCCGCCUGGGGAGUACGACCGCAAGGUUGAAACUCAAAGGAAUUGACGGGGGCCCGCACAAGCGGUGGAGCAUGUGGUUUAAUUCGAAGCAACGCGAAGAACCUUACCAGGUCUUGACAUCCUUUGACCACUCUAGAGAUAGAGCUUUCCCUUCGGGGACAAAGUGACAGGUGGUGCAUGGUUGUCGUCAGCUCGUGUCCUGAGAUGUUGGGUUAAGUCCCGCAACGAGCGCAACCCUUAUUACUAGUUGCCAGCAUUUAGUUGGGCC
Molecule: ribosomal RNA, 1140 nt
Filed under: Latilactobacillus sakei
Lineage: Bacteria; Bacillati; Bacillota; Bacilli; Lactobacillales; Lactobacillaceae
Description: bacterial SSU rRNA
Rfam family: Bacterial small subunit ribosomal RNA
Source: RNAcentral